GUAUAGGGGGUGAAUUCUGCCCAAUGGUUGUAUAGUGAAACUGAGGACUAACGUCUAAAGCGAAACCCAACUGAAUGGCUGCGGUAACUCUGACCGUGAUAAUGUAGCACAAUAAAUAGCCAAUUAAUUGUUGGCGGGUAUGAAUGGAACCACGAGGGUCUUACUGUCUCAAGAGGAAAGCCGAUGAAAUUAUAGUUGUAGUGAAGAUACUACAUAAACAUUGUAAGACGAAAAGACCCUAUCGAGCUUUACUGGAUACCGAUAGCGUUAAUUUAAAAUGAUCGAUACUAAGUAUCCUGAUUUUGAGUUAAUAAUUUUUGUUGGUAGGACAGUUUAGUUGGGGCGACUACCUUUGAAUAAGAAACGAAGGCGAGCUUAUGGUAUACAAAGCUAAUCUCAUUAGCCUGACAGUGAGGGGGACACCCCUAGCUGGCACAAGGACUACGUCCUAUGUGGGCGAUAAUGACCCGAUAUGAUUGUCCAAAACAAAUAUCGAAAGCGGAUAAAAGCUACCGUAGGGAUAACAGCGUAAUAUUGUCGGAGAGUUCUUAUCGAGGACAGUGUUUGCGACCUCGAUGUUGAAUUGCGGUGCCCUGGUGCUGUAGAAGGUACCUCAGGUUGGUC
RNAcentral lists this ribosomal RNA (624 nucleotides) under Ceeceenus quadrus. RNAcentral describes it as "partial 16S ribosomal RNA". It matches the Rfam family "Bacterial large subunit ribosomal RNA", at positions 1843 to 2577 of the family's 2925-position model. The record is from RNAcentral. Lineage: Eukaryota; Metazoa; Cnidaria; Anthozoa; Malacalcyonacea; Paralcyoniidae.